RNAcentral lists this long non-coding RNA (926 nucleotides) under Homo sapiens (human). RNAcentral describes it as "long independently transcribed non-coding RNA 2733, transcript variant 2 (LINC02733)". Lineage: Eukaryota; Metazoa; Chordata; Mammalia; Primates; Hominidae. The record is from RNAcentral.
GAAUGAGCUUCUAGAGAGCUACCAAGACAGUCACUACUUCAUCAUCAGUAAAAGCUGUUUACUUCCGAUGUGUAAUAAACCCACGUGACCAUUUGGGGGCGCCAGAGUCCAGCACAGGCCGGCCGAGCCCGCGUUCUUCCCGGGGAAUGCAACAGCUGAUUCACCUGCUCCACGCUGAUUAAUAAUCAAACUACCAUUGUGUGGGGCCUAUCUUCCUACUGGACCUCAAAACCCACCUACUCCACAAGUUUAUCUUCACAAUUAUGAGCUACCUGCUUCACGUCACACUACAGCACCUAAAAGCAAAUAAUAAAGUUUAUUCUUGAGUUAACCUGCCUCUGUGUUCAGCCAAUCCCUCCUGCACGUGAGUGAUGCACCUGGAUGCUGCAUAAGGAGAGAUGGAAAUACCUAAGGUGUGGUCCUUACUUCCAAGGGGCUUAUAGCAGAACGAAGACUCGAAAGCAAGCACACCCACAACCACAACACAGCCGCUGGCACACACAGCAGGAAAGACACCGGGUUUAAUGGAGCAGAGAAAGGGGGCGUCAUCUCCAGGCACAGCUCCAUGAAGAAGAUGACAUUGACCUGGGAGCUCUGAGCCUUCAUAUAAUGAGUAAGCUUUCAGCUGGAAGAAAUCCCAAGUGGAGAAACAGGAAGCUAUAAAAGAGCAAUGGUUUUGGAUUCACAAAACCUGCCUGAGUGAACCUGGUUGCCAUUCUAGCACAGAGAUCCUGUCUCAAAAAAAAAAAAAAAAGAGGCCUGAGAGAACGUGUUUAUGUCUUUUCCCAUGUGAAGACACAGCUAGAAAGCACCAUCCUUGAAACUGAGAGCAAGCCCUCAUCAGUCAGUGAAUCUGCUGAUGCCAUGUUCUUGGAAUUCCCAGCUUCCAGAACUGUGAGCAAUAAAUGUACAUAGAUUGCAAAUUA